RNAcentral lists this ribosomal RNA (319 nucleotides) under uncultured eukaryote. RNAcentral's name for it is "partial 18S ribosomal RNA". It matches the Rfam family "Eukaryotic small subunit ribosomal RNA", at positions 1470 to 1796 of the family's 1831-position model. The record is from RNAcentral.
CCCUUAGAUGUCCUGGGCCGCACGCGUGCUACACUGACGCAUACAACGAGUAUUUCCAGCUCCGAGAGGUAGCUGGUAAUCAGCAAUAUGCGUCGUGAUGGGAAUAGAGUUUUGCAACUAUUAGUCUUGAACGAGGAAUUCCUCGUAAGCACGAGUCAUCAGCUUGUGCUGAUUACGUCCCUGCCCUUUGUACACACCGCCCGUCGCUCCUACCGAUUGAAUGGUCCGGUGAAAUCUCAGGACGGCGGCUUGGUCGCUUGCGUCCGACUGCUGAAACUUGAUUAAACCAUACCAUUUAGAGGAAGGUGAAGUCGUAACA